GGGCCUGUAGCUUAGCUUGGAUAGAGCGCUUGGCUUCGGACCAAUUCCAAGUCCAGAGAGGUCGGGGGUUCAAAUCCCUCCAGGCUCA
RNAcentral lists this transfer RNA (88 nucleotides) under Candidatus Aenigmatarchaeota archaeon. Its description in RNAcentral is "tRNA-Arg". It matches the Rfam family "tRNA". From Rfam's summary of the family: Transfer RNA (tRNA) molecules are approximately 80 nucleotides in length. Their secondary structure includes four short double-helical elements and three loops (D, anti-codon, and T loops). Lineage: Archaea; Nanobdellati; Candidatus Aenigmatarchaeota. The record is from RNAcentral.